GUGAAUCAUCAAAUUUUUGAACGCAAAUUGCGCUUCCUGGCAUCCCGGGACGUAUGCCUGUUUGAGGGUCAGUAUUAACUAAGAAGCGGUUUGGUUGCAAAUUGUCACGUUUCCGGAGUUUGUGCUAUCUUAACUUUUUGCUUAAGAGGCUUAAAACUGACCUUUUUUGCGCAUUUUUAGAGGUACAUAAAUUUUUUUUUAUUCGUCUAUUCUUAAUGCCCAAAUCUUAUUAGAUGCGAUCACAUCGUGUGCCUUCGUGUCCAUCAAAUUUUCAUGCUUUGAUCUCACAUCAGGUAGGCGU
This 301-nucleotide unclassified non-coding RNA is filed under the name Glomeraceae sp. RNAcentral describes it as "partial contains 5.8S ribosomal RNA and internal transcribed spacer 2". The stretch from base 1 to 71 matches the Rfam family "5.8S ribosomal RNA", at positions 84 to 154 of the family's 154-position model. The record is from RNAcentral. Lineage: Eukaryota; Fungi; Glomeromycota; Glomeromycetes; Glomerales; Glomeraceae.